CUCUUUCUUCCAGGCUGCUACAGCAGGAUAUACCUGCUCUGCCCUGCAAAGUAAAUGCCCUUCCCUGGGUUUGCAGGCUCACUCUGAGCACGUGUUCAGCUCCAAGGCUCAGGCCUGUGAAGCCAAGGACCAUUCUUCCUUGUCAUCACCACAGAGUUGUCAUCACUCCUCAGGUGUCAUCACCACAGGCCUACUGGAAAGCACAAAGGUGGUACAUGGGGAGCCACGGGGGUGAUCCAGAUGCUCAUUCACAGUCAGAAAUAGCUGUAUGGAACUGCCUGUCGGUAGGAUAUCCAGAGGAGCCUUGUUCUGUGACCAUUCUCCAGUAGAUUCAGAGCUGAGUGCUCGCAAGCUGCAGAACUUCUGCAGAACUUGAAAGAAAGUGAAGACCUCCACAGAAGUCUGCAAAACAGGAUGUGGUUGCCCCAAAAUGCAUGACUUCAGAGCGCAAGUCCAGGCUUCUACAUCCCAGUGGCACAUCAGGAAGAUCCCACGCAGUACUGUGAAGCAACGCAGCCUCUGUGCCCACUGGACAGUGGCCAGCACUUUGCUAUCACGGAAUGACAGAAUGGUUUGGUUUGGAAGGGCCCUUAAAGACCACCUCGUUCCAAGCCCCCCCCCCGUGGGCAGGGACACCAUCCACUACAAUAGGUUGACAAAAGCCCCAUCAUGUGACUGUCCUUCUGGCCAGUUUGAAACUGAAGACUUCCAGAAACCAAACCUCACAGCUUGACAAAUCAGAAUGGCUGAGAUAUGUCCUGGCAAUGUCUUCAGCCUUGACCAUCCCAAAAGAGAUGCCGCAAAUCAACUUCAGCACAAGCGUACAAAGACAUAUUAAUCGCAAUUACGCACCCUGCUCCCAAGGAAGAGAUUUGCUUUUGGAAGUCUUCAGCAUGCCACCUCAGAAGCAGCCAUCAGAUCGAAUACCUUUCAGCAUUCUAAUUCUCAAUAGAUUACACACACACCACGUUACUUGUGAAGCAUACACCAGCCUUAUUAAGGCAUGUUCCAACCUAAAUAAAUAACACUGUUCUGAAAUAACUGCUAUUAAGUACCAAAGAGCAGAAAUCCCUGUUUGGCAUUUGGUCCAAAUUAAGUUGUUUGUUGCUGAAAUAGAUUUCUUAUAGUUAUUGUGCAAAUGAAUUUAUAUACACACUGAGAGAAGAAAGCCCUUCAGCUGGGAUCCGUGUUGCUUCCAGCUCCACACUGCACACUGCCACAUGUCUAACUGCUCUCAGGCCAAGGCACUCCACUUGGGUGGCUGCUUUUGAACUCUGCCACCCAACCUGGGCUUGCUAUGCGUGACAGUUUUGCGCAGAGAGAGCAAGAAACAGGGAAGCACUGACAGCCAUUUGCAGAGCAACACAGUUAACACUAAAUUCUGUGAAGUAGAAAAUGCUAGAGAGAACACUCUGUGUCACAACUUUACAUGUCAGCUUUCAGAAAGCACAUUGAACCUAUUUAUCCAGCAUCGUAUAAAAGCACCAUUGAAAGGUUGAACAGAGAGCACCGUGUAUACAGAAUUUUGAUCAAGACAAGCGAGAGGAGCUGUUCAGGGAGCCAUGGAGAAGUACAGAGCCCAGAGGAAUCCCGGCAAGAUGGGUUCCCUGGAGGCACAGUACACGAGGGCUUAAAGAACAAAGCGGCUGACCCUCAGCCAGCUGCUUUGUGGGAUGACCCAGCUUUGUGUGACUGAUGGACCCGAGCCCCAGCACCCGUUCCUCUCUGCAAUUCCCUCACCCUGCAAGGCCUGCUGUAUACCAGCAAGCCUGUAAUUGAUGCCAGUACAAAGACUGAAGCUGCCAAUUGUUCACAGUUGACAUGGACACAGACCACAUCUCCC
This is a long non-coding RNA of Gallus gallus (chicken), 1843 nucleotides long. Lineage: Eukaryota; Metazoa; Chordata; Aves; Galliformes; Phasianidae. The record is from Ensembl.